AUUUUUUUCUUAUUCUCUUCUUCUUUUCUUCUUUACUUCUUCUCCUUCUUAUUUUUUCUUCUCUUCUUCUUCUUCUUCUUCUUCUUCUUCUUCUUCUGCUCCUCCUCCUCCUCCUACUCCUCUUCUUCUUCUCCUCUUCUCGUCCUCGUCCUCCUCCUCUUCUCCUCUUCUCCUCCUCCACCUAACUAACCAAGCUAAC
This 199-nucleotide long non-coding RNA is filed under the name Hordeum vulgare. Its description in RNAcentral is "long non-coding RNA (HVUL_LNC018336)". Lineage: Eukaryota; Viridiplantae; Streptophyta; Magnoliopsida; Poales; Poaceae. The record is from RNAcentral.